This 724-nucleotide ribosomal RNA is filed under the name uncultured Bacteroidota bacterium. RNAcentral describes it as "bacterial SSU rRNA". It matches the Rfam family "Bacterial small subunit ribosomal RNA", at positions 8 to 727 of the family's 1533-position model. Lineage: Bacteria; Pseudomonadati; Bacteroidota. The record is from RNAcentral.
AGAGUUUGAUCCUGGCUCAGGAUUAACGCUAGCGGCAGGCCUAAUACAUGCAAGUCGAACGGCAGCGGGUGUAGCAAUACAUGCCGGCGAGUGGCGCACGGGUGCGUAACGCGUAUGCAAUCUACCUGUAACUGGGGAAUAGCCUUCCGAAAGGAAGAUUAAUACCGCAUAACAUCAUGAAGUGGCAUCAUUUUAUGAUCAAAACUCCGGUGGUUACAGAUGAGCAUGCGUGACAUUAGCUAGUUGGUGAGGUAACGGCUCACCAAGGCGACGAUGUCUAGGGGGUCUGAGAGGAUGAUCCCCCACACUGGUACUGAGACGCGGACCAGACUCCUACGGGAGGCAGCAGUAAGGAAUAUUGGACAAUGGCCGCAAGGCUGAUCCAGCCAUGCCGCGUGCAGGAUGAAGGUGCUCUGCAUUGUAAACUGCUUUUGUUCGGGAAUAAACCCUUUCACGUGUGAGAGGUUGAAUGUACCGAAAGAAUAAGGGACGGCUAACUUCGUGCCAGCAGCCGCGGUAAUACGAAGGUCCCAAGCGUUAUCCGGAUUUAUUGGGUUUAAAGGGUGCGUAGGCGGGUUAUUAAGUCAGUGGUGAAAGCUCCCAGCUCAACUGGGAAACUGCCAUUGAUACUGAUAGUCUUGAGUAUGAUUGAAGUGGGCGGAAUGUGUCAUGUACGGUGAAAUGCUUAGAUAUGACACAGAACACCGAUUUGCGAAGGCAGUCA